CCCGACCUCUGGCGCGCACCAGACUUCCUUCCGCCGCCGCCCCUUGCUCCGGUGCGCCUCCCACCGCACCAAACCGGCAGGCCUCCUCCCCCACGGCCGGCGGGCCUCCUCCCCUAAUGGUCGGCGUGCCUCCCCCCUCCCCCCUGGCCAGCGCGCCUCCUCUCCCGCAGUUGGGUCCAGGCCUGCUCCCACGGCCAACGCUGCCAACUGCCCCGGCGCGCCGCCGUCGCCAUCUUCCCCAGGGUGAAGCUGCCGCCGUUCCUCGCCGCCAAGAUCCAACCUCGCCAGCCACCGACGCACCCGCGGAUUGACGGCCACCCUCUCGAGCAGGAUCACACGCGGAUCGGCGGCCACCGUCUUGAGCAGGAUCACACGCGGGCCACUCCCCAAGCCAUCCCCUGCCCGUCGACGGGUCGCCGUCCCUGGAUCUACGCCCCUCCUCCACCUCCUCCUCCCGGUGGGGCUCUAUAGCCGAAGCGCCCAAGCAGUUCACCGUCGUCACCUUGGGCCGUUCAAUGACACACCACCUGACCACCAGGACGGUCGACACUGCAGUGCCAAGAUCUGCACUUCCACCAUGCUCUGAUGUUGGCGCGAUCUGGGCUCUCUCGGCAACUGGGGUUGCUCUCUUUCCUCAACCAUAUGGCUAGCAAAAAGACUGUAACUCCAACCACCAAGGUCAUUCCCAAUUCCUAUGAAGUUCAGACUUCAAAAAGCAUGGAGUUCAACCUGACCGUGUUAGUUGAAUCACUCGUGGAUCAACAUCAAGAAGGAGCACCGCUGCUGCCCAACACAGCCACGGCCAGAGGACACAAAAACAGUGCAAUUUUUUAAUUAACACUAUUUCACCUCGAAUAGAGCUUGCUGCUCCUGUCAUGUAUUUGUGUGCUCAGCUUGUUGUAAUCCCCCAUAGAAAAACAUACGUGGACCUUCUUUCUUACUCUCCA
Long non-coding RNA from Triticum urartu, 947 nucleotides. RefSeq lists it as uncharacterized. The record is from RefSeq and is a predicted model, not a curated record. Lineage: Eukaryota; Viridiplantae; Streptophyta; Magnoliopsida; Poales; Poaceae.